Microplitis demolitor is the source of this 340-nucleotide long non-coding RNA. RefSeq lists it as uncharacterized. NCBI's taxonomy places the organism in Eukaryota, Metazoa, Arthropoda, Insecta, Hymenoptera, Braconidae. The record is from RefSeq and is a predicted model, not a curated record. The transcript has 2 exons.
UGACGAAUAUGAUCCCCCGAGUUUCUGUCGCUCCAUCCAAGUAAAUGCCAAUUGUUCGAACUGUUAAUAUAAAUGAGCAUUAACUUUAUAAGCUCUGGUUAUGGUUAUGCAGUUCCGGCAGUAAAAAACUCAUGUAAAAACGACGGUGUGUUAAAAUUUUAAUGCUAAUGUACAAAUUACGAUGUACUGAAUGUCAAAUAUUUGACAUUCAAAGUAACAAACUUUUGUAAUUUUAUUUAAUUAAUUUAAAUUUAUCGUUUUUAAUUAAAAACAUUUUAAAAUUUAUUCUGUUCCAGGUAAUUAUGUGCUACUGCAUGUUAAAUAUACUUUUUAGUCUGCC